CUGGGCUGUCUCGCCUCGUUCAAAUGCAACUGAUGGCGUCAGAUAACUUCUACAAUACGUGUUGCUUAAUGAAGGAAACAACCUUGUGUUUGGGGCAUUGCGUAAGAUUACAUCACCGGAUAAAUAUGCAUUAGGGCUGACUUCCUUACUGAGGAAAGUUGGUGAUAGCACACAACAAAAUGAAGUAUUUACUCUUCUUAGCCUGAAGCAGAUGGAGACAAUGGGGCGUUGGCACAGAGAUUCUUAAUAUGAAAGAAUCUGUUUACUGGCAGAAACACCAAGGUUUCUGCAGCUUCACCAAGAAUCAUUCUGGUAACAUAUUGUACUGUACCGGCCAUCUUGAGUCAUGCAGUCCUGUCCUUGCAGUCAAUUAAUAAUACCUGCCUAACUAACCUUCUCUAAUUAUCACAGCUUUUGUGCAUCUAAAUAAACACUGUACUAGUUGGCUUUUUUCUGAGUUGAGUGUUUUUAUUCUAAAUAUUGGAUCCUGCUUUUUUUUAAAUCUUGUGGAAAUACUUUAGGAUUUGUAAUCGGUGAUC
This is a long non-coding RNA of Prinia subflava (tawny-flanked prinia), 539 nucleotides long. RefSeq lists it as uncharacterized. The transcript has 3 exons. The record is from RefSeq and is a predicted model, not a curated record. NCBI's taxonomy places the organism in Eukaryota, Metazoa, Chordata, Aves, Passeriformes, Cisticolidae.